RNAcentral lists this small nuclear RNA (299 nucleotides) under Tursiops truncatus (common bottlenose dolphin). Its description in RNAcentral is "7SK RNA (ENSTTRG00000022723.1)". It matches the Rfam family "7SK RNA". From Rfam's summary of the family: 7SK was discovered as an abundant small nuclear RNA in the mid-70s but a possible function has only recently been suggested. Two independent studies have found that 7SK RNA binds the CDK9/cyclin T complex (known as elongation factor P-TEFb). The record is from Rfam by way of RNAcentral. Lineage: Eukaryota; Metazoa; Chordata; Mammalia; Artiodactyla; Delphinidae. RNAcentral also lists the same sequence under 1 other name.
GGAUGUGAGGGCGAUCUGGCUGCGACAUCUGUCACCCCAUUGAUCGCCAGGGUUGAUUCGGCUGAGCUGGCAGCCUAGGCGGGUGUCCCCUUCCCUCCUCACAGCUCCAUGUGCAUCCGUCGCCAGGCUGUAUGCUCCGUCGAAGAGGAUGACCUUCCCCCACAGAGGACUGUUCUUCGGUCAAGGGUAUGUGAGUAGCUGCACUCCCCUGCUAGAACCUCCAAACAAGCUCUCAAGUAGGUUUUAUGCCAGAAAUGCACCAUUGGUUCAAUAUUAGAAAAAAAUUGUUACUUUAAUUU